UUUGGAUUCUACCCACAAGAUUAGAUAGAUAUUAUACCUCAUGGAAGCUAGUCAUAUAAACAAUGUGUUUUCGAAUUCUCAUUAAGAAGUGAAUUUGAAGAUCAUAAUGUUUGUGUGAUUUCUUCUCCGGAUUUCAUUCAUUUAAUAUAGAGAUUGCCUUGGCCAUGAAGAUUUUUAUGAAACUUAAUUAUCCCCUGUGAAUGUAGAGAAGAAAAAUGACUACACCAAAAUCUACAACCUAAAUAAAUAAUUAAAAUAUACAUUUUUGAAUGAAAAUGAAACUUAAGAUCAAUACCAAGAUCAAGGUGAAUAUUGUAAUCAAAUUUUACAUAAAAAAUCGCACUAUAGAGAAUCAUGGGUACUUCAUUCUCUCUCCUCCCAUGAAUGGCCUACAGAUUUAUGAGAGUUGGUGAGAAGUUUUGCUCUCUGGCAUCAAACCACGAUCCAUUCUUGUUAGUUAUCAAUCUGUUGGUACCUGCAACACCUACAAACUCACAAAUAUAAGCCCCGUUGACCCAAAACAAAAAAAAAAAUCGAACAAUAGAGAAAUAAUAAAGAAGAAUAAUGCAAAAUUAAAUGCAAAGAUUGUCCGAAAGUAUAGUUUGAAACACCAUUUUAACUUUUAGUCUAGGAGCAGGAAAUCAAUAGCAGAUAUCUAAAUAUUGGAUCAAAAGUUUCUUUAUACCUCCAUAAAAGAUCCCCAACAAUGAAAUACAUAAUGUAUCUAAAUGUGAUGGCUCGAACCACAACCGCCUCUCCUUUCCUAAGCUCCUAUGUAUCUUCUUUUUUGCGUUUUGGUUUCUAAACAUGAUGAUUACUUUGGAAUUGAUACUUAUGGAAUACAAUAGGUCUGAAAGGAUAUAGGGGCGGCUGCCAAAACCAAAUCCUAAAUCAUAGUUGAGGAGGGAAUAUGUGACAACCCAAAUUUUAGUGCUAUUAUUAUAACCGCCAAUCUAUCCGUGAAUUUCUUGUUUAGUGCAUCUAAAGUAAAAUAAAUAAUUUUAUUUCAAUUAUGACAUGAUGUCAGAUGAUACCUUACUUCCAAAUAUGUAAACUGUCAACCGAAUCAAACCGCUUAAACAACAACGCUAAUUAAUGCAUUAGAAAAACUGAAAAUUUACAUUAAGCAGUUUUAAGCAAUACAAACAUUAAAAUAUUAUAGUACAUGUUUCCAUGUUUCCGAAAAUAUAAAGAAGGUCCAAAACGGAGUUCGUAUGCAAAAGAUACGACAGUUUUAAGAAAACAGACAGUAAAACGCUGUUUUUCUUUAAUCACGUAAAACUGAAUCAAUCCAUUGAGGCACUUACGCUUUGCCGACGGGAUUUCCGAGAGCGUUUUUGGACUCAGGUUAUAAUCUAUUAUUUAAUUCCACACUCGAAAUAAUUUUUAUGAAAAUAUUCACAAAAGUCGCAAAAACGGACACCGCGAGCCGUUUAAACGCAAAACUUUAAAUGUGAUUUUCCGGAGUUCCGUAACUCCAAAAAUUAAUCCGUUUAAUGUUCUGGAAUCCUUGAAUUAAACUCUAUCUAACGGUACAUUCGGAAAAUUUUCUCGAUAGCCGAGUCCCGAUAAACCAAAAGAUAGUCAACUUUUGGACAUUUAAUAAAUGGGAGACCAUAUGUGAGACCCACAUGGCUUAGAAGCCAGCCAAUACUCCUUUUAGCAUCUGGACCGUCGCUUGCUGAUCACGCCUCGCUUCGGAUGGAUGACACGUAGCCCUCGCAUACGCCCCGCGUCCGAAGACAUUACGCCCCACGUUCCGACCCUUAUGCGGUUCCCAGAAGAGCCACGAUGACCCAGCAGCGAAGCAACGCGUGUCAACCUUAUCCGAACUUACGUCUAGCGUAAGACUUCGGUACGCCCAACGUAAGUCCAAAGCCUCGCCUAUAAAAGGAGGCCGAGGGCAGCCACUUCUCUCACACCAAAUCCUUCUACUUUCUCUCACUACCCCCCUAACCCCCUCUUAAGCCUAAGUAAACCCCCUAGCACCCGAGGGAAGCCCCGAGGCUCCCGGAGUCCCGAGAAAAAAAGGGUCUUUCGGUUUCGGAAACGCUGCUCUGAGCAAAACCCGGUUUUCUUUAAAAUCCGUUGUAAGUAAGUUAUAUUGAGUGUUAUUUAACGCUUAUAUAAUAAUAAUAAUAAUAAUAAUAAUAAUAAUAAUCAUAAUAAUAGCUAGACUAUUAAUUUGUAGCGGUUAUCAUUAGACUAAACCCUAGUGGUAUUGAUACUAGGUUUUAUCAAAGGAAAAUUGUUUUGAGAGUAUCGAAACGCUGUCUGAGUGCUGAGUCACCACCUUUCAAGUGAGUGCAUGGUCCCUGUCAUCUUACACAUAGAUAUGAAGUAUUUUACAUAAAUUACGUGUUAUGUGUGCAUAUUAAAAUGAAUAAAAAUACAUUUCUUCAAAAAUGUUUUGAUAACGUAUUUAUCAUGUUUUACUAGGAACAAAUUCCGCAACAUUUUUAUUAAAAGAAGUACUUUGAUUUUUAUAAAGCAUAAAUAAAAUCAAUCUUUUCUGGCCGUGAAAAAUAGGGAUGUCACAAAACACUUUUUUCCUUUGAACAAAACCCAUUCUAUUUUCAACAAAGCAACUCGUGACUGAAGCUAAAAACAAUACACCGUUUAGCUACCAUUUUAUAAUGUAACACCCCAGAAUAAAAAGUAAAUCAUUUUUAUAACCAUGAGGACUCCUUUUCUUUCAAACAAAACCAAACAAAGUUUCUUUUUUUUUAAAAAAAUUGAUGACCGAAUAAGAGUAUAUGUAUGAUAAACAAAACACAUAAUACAUAUUUUGUAGGAAAAACAAAGAAACAACAAAUAUCUUUUCUAAUGAUACUACAGGCACGAUACUUGCUUAAAAGAAAUCUAAGUGAACCAUUUAUGGUGGUGCUCAAAGUUUCCUUGUGAGAUCCUUCUCUUUUUUCUCCUCCAAAAUUCAGAAAAACAAAAUUUUACAUACACCCAAAAUGAGCCUUAAAUCGAAGUAAAAAAAAAAAGCAUAUAAAACUCUAAACCAAUGUACACACAAAAGUAGAGCAUUUAAAUUGUUUAUAUAUUCAAAAUUAAAAAAUAACUUUUGUAUGCUGAAUUAAAGAUGUCCAAAUAAACACAUACAUAUAUAGUUUCAUCUGUUUUCACAAUCAAAACAACUCGAACAAAAUUUAAAGUUUUAGAAACAGAAAAAAGGCAAAUAUUGAUAUAGAUAAGAAGAAAGAACCUUGUAUAGAUGUCAGGUUUAAGUGCUUAACUCAUGUGUAUAUUCUUGGUCACCAUUCUCAUUUGCAAUAUCCUACAUCGCUGGGAUCAAUUGAAGGUAAUUAAGAGAAAUCGAGAGGAAAAACCUAAAGCCGAUAGAGAUUUCUGGCCCACCUACGGUUCCAGUGAACUUUGUCUUCGUCAAUCAUUGGUGGUGGCGUCGUGGAGAGAUGGACUGAUAAAGGGGUUUUUAGUGGAGCUUUACCGGAAUGGUGGCAGUGAGGUGCACCAGUGGUGGAUGAUGAAGCUGGAAGGUGGAGGGGCGACGUCUACGAUGGGGAAGAGAAGCUGGAAGGAUGAUGAGAAACCGAUGGAUAAUGUUAAAGUGAAUGGGACGAAACCCAAGCCAGAUUUUGGGGGUGGAGGGAUUAAUCAAAAAAAUCAAAUUAGAGAAAGCGGGAUCAAAU
Molecule: long non-coding RNA, 3659 nt
Filed under: Lactuca sativa (garden lettuce)
Lineage: Eukaryota; Viridiplantae; Streptophyta; Magnoliopsida; Asterales; Asteraceae
Description: long non-coding RNA (LSAT_LNC005558)
Source: RNAcentral